Molecule: transfer RNA, 63 nt
Filed under: Erianthus versicolor
Lineage: Eukaryota; Metazoa; Arthropoda; Insecta; Orthoptera; Chorotypidae
Also listed under: 1 other name
Description: tRNA-Phe
Source: RNAcentral
AUUUGAAUAGCUUAUAAAAAGCGUGACAUUGAAGAUGUUAAUAAGGUUAUUUACCUUCAAAUA